GGAUUUAGUAAACGGAAGCUUCGGUGGAAGAUUACUAAUGAGAGUGGCGAACGGGUGAGUAACGCGUGAGCAACCUGCCUAUGACAGUGGGAUAGCCUCGGGAAACCGGGAUUAAUACCGCAUAAAAUCGUAGAAACACAUGUUUUAACGGUCAAAGAUUUAUCGGUCAUAGAUGGGCUCGCGUCUGAUUAGCUAGUUGGUGAGAUAACAGCCCACCAAGGCGACGAUCAGUAGCCGGUCUGAGAGGAUGAACGGCCACAUUGGAACUGAGACACGGUCCAAACUCCUACGGGAGGCAGCAGUGGGGAAUAUUGCACAAUGGGGGAAACCCUGAUGCAGCGACGCCGCGUGAACGAAGAAGGUAUUCGUAUCGUAAAGUUCUGUCCUAUGGGAAGAUAAUGACAGUACCAUAGAAGAAAGCUCCGGCUAAAUACGUGCCAGCAGCCGCGGUAAUACGUAUGGAGCGAGCGUUGUCCGGAAUUAUUGGGCGUAAAGGGUACGCAGGCGGUUUAAUAAGUCGAAUGUUAAAGAUCGGGGCUCAACCCCGUAAAGCAUUGGAAACUGAUAAACUUGAGUAGUGGAGAGGAAAGUGGAAUUCCUAGUGUAGUGGUGAAAUACGUAGAUAUUAGGAGGAAUACCAGUAGCGAAGGCGACUUUCUGGACACAAACUGACGCUGAGGUACGAAAGCGUGGGGAGCAAACAGGAUUAG
RNAcentral lists this ribosomal RNA (710 nucleotides) under uncultured Eubacteriales bacterium. RNAcentral describes it as "bacterial SSU rRNA". It matches the Rfam family "Bacterial small subunit ribosomal RNA", at positions 57 to 781 of the family's 1533-position model. Lineage: Bacteria; Bacillati; Bacillota; Clostridia; Eubacteriales. The record is from RNAcentral.